Molecule: transfer RNA, 72 nt
Filed under: Diaphorina citri (Asian citrus psyllid)
Lineage: Eukaryota; Metazoa; Arthropoda; Insecta; Hemiptera; Psyllidae
Rfam family: tRNA
About the family: Transfer RNA (tRNA) molecules are approximately 80 nucleotides in length. Their secondary structure includes four short double-helical elements and three loops (D, anti-codon, and T loops). Further hydrogen bonds mediate the characteristic L-shaped molecular structure. tRNAs have two regions of fundamental functional importance: the anti-codon, which is responsible for specific mRNA codon recognition, and the 3' end, to which the tRNAs corresponding amino acid is attached (by aminoacyl-tRNA synthetases). tRNAs cope with the degeneracy of the genetic code in two manners: having more than one tRNA (with a specific anti-codon) for a particular amino acid; and 'wobble' base-pairing, i.e. permitting non-standard base-pairing at the 3rd anti-codon position.
Source: Rfam by way of RNAcentral
GCCUCGGUGGCGUAGUGGUCAAGACGCUCGCCUGGUAAACAGGAGGGCGUGGGUUCGAUCCCAGCCGGGGCA